UACGUAGGGUGCAAGCGUUGUCCGGAAUUAUUGGGCGUAAAGAGCUCGUAGGCGGUUUGUUGCGUCGGCUGUGAGAUCCCGAGGCUCAACCUCGGGUCUGCAGUCGAUACGAGCAAACUAGAGUGUUGCAGGGGAGACUGGAAUUCCUGGUGUAGCGGUGAAAUGCGCAGAUAUCAGGAGGAACACCGGUGGCGAAGGCGGGUCUCUGGGGCAACAACUGACGCUGAGGAGCGAAAGCGUGGGGAGCGAACAGG
RNAcentral lists this ribosomal RNA (254 nucleotides) under uncultured bacterium. RNAcentral describes it as "partial 16S ribosomal RNA". It matches the Rfam family "Bacterial small subunit ribosomal RNA", at positions 524 to 776 of the family's 1533-position model. The record is from RNAcentral.